CCCUUAGAUGUUCUGGGCCGCACACGCGCUACACUGAAGGAGGCAGCGUGUACUCCUGGAUCGAAAGAUUUGGGUAACCCGCGAAUCUCCUUCGUGCUAGGGAUUGAGGUUUGCAAUUAUCCUUCAUGAACGAGGAAUUCCCAGUAAGUGCAAGUCAUAAGCUUGCGCUGACUACGUCCCUGCCCUUUGUACACACCGCCCGUCGCUACUACCGAUUGAAUGAUUCAGUGAGGACUUCGGACUGGGACCGAUGCGGCUUUCGGGCUGCGUCGGUAUUCUGGAAAGAUGUCCAAACUGUAUCAUUUAGAGGAAGUAAAAGUCGUAACA
Molecule: ribosomal RNA, 327 nt
Filed under: uncultured eukaryote
Lineage: Eukaryota
Description: partial 18S ribosomal RNA
Rfam family: Eukaryotic small subunit ribosomal RNA
Source: RNAcentral